GUCCGUGCUUUCCGUCCACUUCGCCUUGGCGGCGCUGAGGAAGGCCGCGUUCGACGUCGCGUGCGUCCCGGGAUACGCGUUUUUCAACUCGAGGUUGCUGAUCACGGUCAAUUGAUCCGCCACCGGGGCCAGCGACUGGAGUGUGGGAGAAAACUCGGUCAGCCUGCCUUCGCCUGGCGGCGU
Molecule: unclassified non-coding RNA, 183 nt
Filed under: fungal sp.
Lineage: Eukaryota; Fungi
Description: partial internal transcribed spacer region
Source: RNAcentral